This 595-nucleotide ribosomal RNA is filed under the name Adelie penguin guano bacterium 83. RNAcentral describes it as "bacterial SSU rRNA". It matches the Rfam family "Bacterial small subunit ribosomal RNA", at positions 93 to 686 of the family's 1533-position model. The record is from RNAcentral.
GAGCGGCGGACGGGUGAGUAAUACUUAGGAAUCUACCUAGUAGUGGGGGAUAGCACGGGGAAACUCGUAUUAAUACCGCAUACGACCUACGGGAGAAAGGGGGCAACUUGUUGCUCUCGCUAUUAGAUGAGCCUAAGUCGGAUUAGCUAGAUGGUGGGGUAAAGGCCUACCAUGGCGACGAUCUGUAGCUGGUCUGAGAGGAUGAUCAGCCACACCGGGACUGAGACACGGCCCGGACUCCUACGGGAGGCAGCAGUGGGGAAUAUUGGACAAUGGGGGAAACCCUGAUCCAGCCAUGCCGCGUGUGUGAAGAAGGCCUUUUGGUUGUAAAGCACUUUAAGCAGUGAAGAAGACUCCUCGGUUAAUACCCGUGGACGAUGACAUUAGCUGCAGAAUAAGCACCGGCUAACUCUGUGCCAGCAGCCGCGGUAAUACAGAGGGUGCAAGCGUUAAUCGGAAUUACUGGGCGUAAAGGGAGCGUAGGUGGCUCGAUAAGUCAGAUGUGAAAUCCCCGGGCUCAACCUGGGAACUGCAUCUGAUACUGUUGAGCUAGAGUAUGUGAGAGGAAGGUAGAAUUCCAGGUGUAGCGGUGAAA